AGUUUGAUCCUGGCUCAGGAUGAACGCUAGCUACAGGCUUAACACAUGCAAGUCGAGGGGCAGCAUCAUCAAAGCUUGCUUUGAUGGAUGGCGACCGGCGCACGGGUGAGUAACACGUAUCCAACCUGCCGACAACACUGGGAUAGCCUUUCGAAAGAAAGAUUAAUACCGGAUGGCAUAGUUUUCCCGCAUGGGAUAAUUAUUAAAGAAUUUCGGUUGUCGAUGGGGAUGCGUUCCAUUAGGCAGUUGGCGGGGUAACGGCCCACCAAACCUACGAUGGAUAGGGGUUCUGAGAGGAAGGUCCCCCACAUUGGAACUGAGACACGGUCCAAACUCCUACGGGAGGCAGCAGUGAGGAAUAUUGGUCAAUGGACGAGAGUCUGAACCAGCCAAGUAGCGUGAAGGAUGACUGCCCUAUGGGUUGUAAACUUCUUUUAUACGGGAAUAAAGUUAGCCACGUGUGGCUUUUUGUAUGUACCGUAUGAAUAAGGAUCGGCUAACUCCGUGCCAGCAGCCGCGGUAAUACGGAGGAUCCGAGCGUUAUCCGGAUUUAUUGGGUUUAAAGGGAGCGUAGGCGGGUUGUUAAGUCAGUUGUGAAAGUUUGCGGCUCAACCGUAAAAUUGCAGUUGAUACUGGCGACCUUGAGUGCAACAGAGGUAGGCGGAAUUCGUGGUGUAGCGGUGAAAUGCUUAGAUAUCACGAAGAACUCCGAUUGCGAAGGCAGCUUACUGGAUUGUAACUGACGCUGAUGCUCGAAAGUGUGGGUAUCAAACAGGAUUAGAUACCCUGGUAGUCCACACAGUAAACGAUGAAUACUCGCUGUUGGCGAUAUACGGUCAGCGGCCAAGCGAAAGCAUUAAGUAUUCCACCUGGGGAGUACGCCGGCAACGGUGAAACUCAAAGGAAUUGACGGGGGCCCGCACAAGCGGAGGAACAUGUGGUUUAAUUCGAUGAUACGCGAGGAACCUUACCCGGGCUUAAAUUGCAACUGACUGAACCGGAAACGGUUCUUUCUUCGGACAGUUGUGAAGGUGCUGCAUGGUUGUCGUCAGCUCGUGCCGUGAGGUGUCGGCUUAAGUGCCAUAACGAGCGCAACCCUUAUCGAUAGUUACUAGCAGGUCAUGCUGAGGACUCUAUUGAGACUGCCGUCGUAAGAUGUGAGGAAGGUGG
RNAcentral lists this ribosomal RNA (1170 nucleotides) under uncultured Bacteroides sp. RNAcentral's name for it is "bacterial SSU rRNA". It matches the Rfam family "Bacterial small subunit ribosomal RNA", at positions 10 to 1176 of the family's 1533-position model. Lineage: Bacteria; Pseudomonadati; Bacteroidota; Bacteroidia; Bacteroidales; Bacteroidaceae. The record is from RNAcentral.